This 2803-nucleotide ribosomal RNA is filed under the name Klebsiella oxytoca. Its description in RNAcentral is "bacterial LSU rRNA". It matches the Rfam family "Bacterial large subunit ribosomal RNA". The record is from RNAcentral. Lineage: Bacteria; Pseudomonadati; Pseudomonadota; Gammaproteobacteria; Enterobacterales; Enterobacteriaceae.
CCGGCGAUGUCCGAAUGGGGAAACCCAGUGCAAUUCGUUGCACUAUCGUUAACUGAAUACAUAGGUUAACGAGGCGAACCGGGGGAACUGAAACAUCUAAGUACCCCGAGGAAAAGAAAUCAACCGAGAUUCCCCCAGUAGCGGCGAGCGAACGGGGAGCAGCCCGGAGUCUGAAUCAGCUUGUGUGUUAGUGGAAGCGUCUGGAAAGUCGCAGGGUACAGGGUGAUACUCCCGUACACUAAAACACACAGGUUGUGAACUCGAAGAGUAGGGCGGGACACGUGGUAUCCUGUCUGAAUAUGGGGGGACCAUCCUCCAAGGCUAAAUACUCCUGACUGACCGAUAGUGAACCAGUACCGUGAGGGAAAGGCGAAAAGAACCCCGGCGAGGGGAGUGAAAAAGAACCUGAAACCGUGUACGUACAAGCAGUAGGAGCCCACUAGUUGGGUGACUGCGUACCUUUUGUAUAAUGGGUCAGCGACUUAUAUUCUGUAGCAAGGUUAACCGAAUAGGGGAGCCGCAGGGAAACCGAGUCUUAACUGGGCGUUAAGUUGCAGGGUAUAGACCCGAAACCCGGUGAUCUAGCCAUGGGCAGGUUGAAGGUUGGGUAACACUAACUGGAGGACCGAACCGACUAAUGUUGAAAAAUUAGCGGAUGACUUGUGGCUGGGGGUGAAAGGCCAAUCAAACCGGGAGAUAGCUGGUUCUCCCCGAAAGCUAUUUAGGUAGCGCCUCGUGAACUCAUCUUCGGGGGUAGAGCACUGUUUCGGCUAGGGGGUCAUCCCGACUUACCAACCCGAUGCAAACUACGAAUACCGAAGAAUGUUAUCACGGGAGACACACGGCGGGUGCUAACGUCCGUCGUGAAGAGGGAAACAACCCAGACCGCCAGCUAAGGUCCCAAAGUCAUGGUUAAGUGGGAAACGAUGUGGGAAGGCCCAGACAGCCAGGAUGUUGGCUUAGAAGCAGCCAUCAUUUAAAGAAAGCGUAAUAGCUCACUGGUCGAGUCGGCCUGCGCGGAAGAUGUAACGGGGCUAAACCAUGCACCGAAGCUGCGGCAGCGACGCUUAUGCGUUGUUGGGUAGGGGAGCGUUCUGUAAGCCGUUGAAGGUGGCCUGUGAGGGUUGCUGGAGGUAUCAGAAGUGCGAAUGCUGACAUAAGUAACGAUAAUGCGGGUGAAAAACCCGCACGCCGGAAGACCAAGGGUUCCUGUCCAACGUUAAUCGGGGCAGGGUGAGUCGACCCCUAAGGCGAGGCCGAAAGGCGUAGUCGAUGGGAAACAGGUUAAUAUUCCUGUACUUGGUGUUACUGCGAAGGGGGGACGGAGAAGGCUAUGUUGGCCGGGCGACGGUUGUCCCGGUUUAAGCAUGUAGGCGGAUGUUCCAGGUAAAUCCGGAACGUUAUUAACGCUGAGGUGUGAUGACGAGGCACUACGGUGCUGAAGUGACAAAUGCCCUGCUUCCAGGAAAAGCCUCUAAGCAUCAGGUAACAUCAAAUCGUACCCCAAACCGACACAGGUGGUCAGGUAGAGAAUACCAAGGCGCUUGAGAGAACUCGGGUGAAGGAACUAGGCAAAAUGGUGCCGUAACUUCGGGAGAAGGCACGCUGAUGGUAAGUGAAGUGACUUGCUCAUGGAGCUGAAAUCAGUCGAAGAUACCAGCUGGCUGCAACUGUUUAUUAAAAACACAGCACUGUGCAAACACGAAAGUGGACGUAUACGGUGUGACGCCUGCCCGGUGCCGGAAGGUUAAUUGAUGGGGUUAUCCUCGCGGAGAAGCUCUUGAUCGAAGCCCCGGUAAACGGCGGCCGUAACUAUAACGGUCCUAAGGUAGCGAAAUUCCUUGUCGGGUAAGUUCCGACCUGCACGAAUGGCGUAAUGAUGGCCAGGCUGUCUCCACCCGAGACUCAGUGAAAUUGAACUCGCUGUGAAGAUGCAGUGUACCCGCGGCAAGACGGAAAGACCCCGUGAACCUUUACUAUAGCUUGACACUGAACACUGGUCCUUGAUGUGUAGGAUAGGUGGGAGGCUUUGAAGUGUGGACGCCAGUCUGCAUGGAGCCGUCCUUGAAAUACCACCCUUUAAUGGCUGGUGUUCUAACGUGGGCCCGUGAUCCGGGUUGCGGACAGUGUCUGGUGGGUAGUUUGACUGGGGCGGUCUCCUCCUAAAGAGUAACGGAGGAGCACGAAGGUCAGCUAAUCCUGGUCGGACAUCAGGAGGUUAGUGCAAUGGCAUAAGCUGGCUUGACUGCGAGCGUGACGGCGCGAGCAGGUGCGAAAGCAGGUCAUAGUGAUCCGGUGGUUCUGAAUGGAAGGGCCAUCGCUCAACGGAUAAAAGGUACUCCGGGGAUAACAGGCUGAUACCGCCCAAGAGUUCAUAUCGACGGCGGUGUUUGGCACCUCGAUGUCGGCUCAUCACAUCCUGGGGCUGAAGUAGGUCCCAAGGGUAUGGCUGUUCGCCAUUUAAAGUGGUACGCGAGCUGGGUUUAGAACGUCGUGAGACAGUUCGGUCCCUAUCUGCCGUGGGCGCUGGAGAAUUGAGGGGGGCUGCUCCUAGUACGAGAGGACCGGAGUGGACGCAUCACUGGUGUUCGGGUUGUCAUGCCAAUGGCAUUGCCCGGUAGCUAAAUGCGGAAGAGAUAAGUGCUGAAAGCAUCUAAGCACGAAACUUGCCCCGAGAUGAGUUCUCCCUGACCCUUUAAGGGUCCUGAAGGAACGUUGAAGACGACGACGUUGAUAGGCCGGGUGUGUAAGCGCAGCGAUGCGUUGAGCUAACCGGUACUAAUGAACCGUGAGGCUUAACCUU